AUAAUUUAGGGGUAAUAAUUCCUAGUGUUUGGAUUUACAGUUGUGUAAACAUGUAAAAUUAAUUCAUGUGAAGCAACUAGUUUGUGAUGAUACAAAGAGAAAGAUAUAGAAUUGAAAUUUAAUUUCAGAUAUAAAUUAAGUCUUUGCAUUUGAAGCACUUCUGAAAGAUAGAGAAAAACUAUUACUGUGAGGGUUUCUUCAAGGUAUAUCCAUGUAACAUCAUUUUGAAUAGGAUUCUUUUGGACCUUCUGUUCACUUUUCACUUAAAAAUUUAAAAUAUCAAAAGUUUACUAUAUUUCUUUCCCAUAAUUUUAAUUGGCAUGUAGUUUUUUUUCACAAAUGGAAGUCUAUAAAUAGCUGUUUGUCUUAUGGUUUGCCCUUCCUCCCUCGUGCAGGAAUGGCAAACCUAUAGCAUGCAUGCCGCAGCAGGUUGUUUGUGUCAUGGAAAGCUAUACACUGCUCACCAUCACUGGUCUAGUGUAUAAAGAUUAAAAUGUAUACCUGUGUUAAGUGAUUAUUGUCUCACAGUCAGUGGGGAUUUUUUGCUUUAGCAACUGUAAUUUUAAAAAUUCAUGGCUUUUUCCCUGGUUGUCAAAAUAGAGAUGUGAGUAUAAGACAAUUAAAAAUGCACAGGACAAAAAACUUACCCCCUACGCACACCAGCCCCACCAGUACUUGAUACACGUGAUACUAAUUGUCCAACUAGCUAAUCCACUCCCACUCCCACUCCAGGCGUCUGCCAAGUUGCUGCGUAUGCAGUCGGCCGGACUACCAGAAUUCUAAAAAAAGGACGGGGACAGAAAAUGAAACUUUGGACACACGUAUUUUUUGAAGCCUUUUCAACACCACUUCCAUUCUUUGAACCAUGGAAAGGUGAUUCGUGAAGCAUAGACAGCCCACGCUUUUACCAACUGCCUGCAUGUGCUGGAGCAGAGGACUAUCAGUUCCACAGCUCUGUGAAGGUAGAAGGUAGAGGUGUCACAAGUGCAGUGUUGUAGACAGCUAUUGAGCUACUUAAGUCACACACUGACUGGUGAAUUUUGCUGACCCCUCCCUUGUUCUCACUCUCCCUUUCAUAUGCAUCAGCUGUGCUUCUUGAGUAACUAGUACUUCCAUAAUUAGAACAGCAGGGGAACUCAAAGUAAGGGCCAGGGGUGUAGCUCAGUGGCAGAGCACUUGCCUAGCAUGCCCUACGAAAACAAA
Molecule: long non-coding RNA, 1203 nt
Organism: Chinchilla lanigera (long-tailed chinchilla)
Lineage: Eukaryota; Metazoa; Chordata; Mammalia; Rodentia; Chinchillidae
Exons: 3
Source: RefSeq, a predicted model, not a curated record